CCUACGGGCGGCAGCAGUGAGGAAUAUUGGUCAAUGGGCGCGAGCCUGAACCAGCCAAGUAGCGUGCAGGAUGACUGCCCUACGGGUUGUAAACUUCUUUUAUACAGGAAUAACGUGCCUCACGUGUGCCUCUUUGUAUGUACUUUAUGAAUAAGGAUCGGCUAAUUCCGUGCCAGCAGCCGCGGUAAUACGGAAGAUCCGAGCGUUAUCCGGAUUUAUUGGGUUUAAAGGGAGCGUAGAUGGGUUGUUAAGUCAGUUGUGAAAGUUUGCGGCUCAACCGUAAAAUUGCAAUUGAUACUGGCAGUCUUGAGUACAGUAGAGGUAGGCGGAAUUCGUGGUGUAGCGGUGAAAUGCUUAGAUAUCACGAAGAACUCCGAUUGCGAAGGCAGCUCACUAAACUGCAACUGACACUGAGGCUCGAAAGUGUGGGUAUCAAACAGGAUUAGAUACCCCAGUAGUC
Molecule: ribosomal RNA, 460 nt
Filed under: uncultured bacterium
Lineage: Bacteria
Description: partial 16S ribosomal RNA
Rfam family: Bacterial small subunit ribosomal RNA
Source: RNAcentral